This 1015-nucleotide long non-coding RNA is filed under the name Cyanistes caeruleus (blue tit). Its description in RNAcentral is "lncRNA (ENSCCEG00000002211.1)". Lineage: Eukaryota; Metazoa; Chordata; Aves; Passeriformes; Paridae. The record is from RNAcentral.
AUUUUUUAUUUUAUUUUAUUUAGAUUAUUUUAUUCAGAUUAUUAUAUUAAUUAUUCAGAUUAUUAUUAUUAUUCAGAUUCUUGACGUUAAAAGCCCAUAAUUAAGAUAAUUAAAACAAAGACAUUUGCCUUGUAAUCAGCAUAUAUUUCAAUAAGAGGUUUUAAUUUACAGGUGAAAGUUCUGAGCUUCUUAUUUAAUGUUAUCUAUAUUGACAACAUGCUAUAUAGAUCUGAUUGUUUAGGGUGUUUAUGAUACUCCUUUAUUUUUAAAUCCUUUUUCAAUUUGAUGAACACACAUCAAACCUCCAGGACAUGAGAGAGAGUAGCUCCUCAGGGAAGCCAGGCAGACCUGUGUUAGUGGUUGCUGGGAUUGCCAUGGGGAGGCACUAUACAGAGCCACAGCUUGGUCGAGGCACUGCAGUGAUUCUGGAAUCAUGCAGUACAGAACUGGAAGGUAUCCACAAGAAUCACUGAGUUUAACUCCUGGCCCUGCACAGGACAAUUCCCAAAAUCCCACCAUCUGCUUGAGAGCAUUUUCCAAAUGCUUCUUUGACUUCGGGUCGGCGCGGCUCGGGUCGGCGCGGCUCGGGUCGCCUCGGGUAGACAUUCGAGUAGGCCCGGCUCGGGUAGACAUUCGAGUAGGCCCGGCUCGGGUAGACAUCCGAGUAGGCCCGGCUCGGGUAGAGACCCGAGUAGGCACGGCUCGGGUAGAGUCGGGUCGGCUCUGGUCUGCUCGGCCCCGCCCGGCCCCGCACGGGCCCGCGUUCCUGCUCGGCCCCGCCCGGCCCCGCACGGGCCCGCGUUCCCGCUCUGCCCCCGGUACAGUCCCGCACGGCUCGGUACAGCCCAUCACGGUACGGCCCCGCUCGGGGCGGUGCCCGGAGCCGCGCGGCGGGGCCGGGACAGAACUGGAGAAGGGAGCGGGACCGGGCAGAGGCCGAGAGAGGUUAUCAGGAACCUUUAACCAGGGUCACCUUCCGACUUGCUGUUUGCACUGGAGAGGCGCACUGACAUGA